Molecule: unclassified non-coding RNA, 658 nt
Filed under: Chrysosporium carmichaelii
Lineage: Eukaryota; Fungi; Ascomycota; Eurotiomycetes; Onygenales; Onygenaceae
Description: sequence contains 18S rRNA gene, ITS1, 5.8S rRNA gene, ITS2, 28S rRNA gene
Rfam family: 5.8S ribosomal RNA (bases 276-429)
Source: RNAcentral
GUAACAAGGUUUCCGUAGGUGAACCUGCGGAAGGAUCAUUACAGUGCCAGCGGGAGCGUCGCGGCCGUCCCCCCUAACCCGGGGGGCCGUGUUCGAUCGGCGCCCUGCGACCGGCCCCACACUUGUCUACAGACCGCGUUGCCUCGGCGGGCCCGCCGCUUAGUCGGCCGCCGGGGGGGGACUAAUUCUCCCCCCUGGUCAGCGCCCGCCGGAGGACCGAUCGAAAUAUCUUUUUUAACGAGUUGCAGUCUGAGCGAUAAUCGCAAAUGAAUCAAAACUUUCAACAAUGGAUCUCUUGGUUCCGGCAUCGAUGAAGAACGCAGCGAAAUGCGAUAAGUAAUGUGAAUUGCAGAAUUCCGUGAAUCAUCGAAUCUUUGAACGCACAUUGCGCCCUCUGGUAUUCCGGGGGGCAUGCCUGUCCGAGCGUCAUUGCAACCCUCAAGCACGGCUUGUGUUAUGGGCUUCCCGUCCCGCUAUCUCAGUGGACGAGCCCGAAAUGCAGUGAUCGCCGCCGCGAUACCGGCGCCCGAGCGAAUGGGAAUUUACACCAAAGCUCAAUGGGCCCGGCCGGCAGUUUCGGUCCUACAACCAUUUUUUUUUUUCUAAGGUUGACCUCGGAUCAGGUAGGGAUACCCGCUGAACUUAAGCAUAUCAAUAA